AUGGCUUCUUCCGUGACGGUCUCAUCCGUGCUUAAGCUGGGGGCCAUCGUCCUCUGCGUCGUGCUCGCCGCGUCGUCCGUGCGGCGGACGGCGCCGCGGGACUGUGACUCGCUCUGCGAGACCGCGUGCUCCUACCUCGAGUCAGCGGCGUGCAACGGUCUCUGCGGCGUCCCCGCCGCCGCCUCCUCCGAGAAGCCGACAUGCCAGUCCUGCAAGGAGGCGACCAAGAAGUCGUGCAACACCGAGUGCGUCAGCAUGUGCAACACCACGCCGGAUUCGCCGUCUAGCUGUAGUGCCAGAGACGCACGCGUUGGAGAGCUCCCGCCGCCGCCGACCACCGCGAGGGGCUUUGCCCCGGCGGCCCCGGCCAGCGGCGGCGAGGGGGAGAGGAGGUGGAGGAAGCCUAGUACGGCGGCGGCAGUUGUGCCCCCCGAGUCGCCCGCUGGACGACGCGGGGGCCUUUCCUUCCGGUUAGAGAUCCUAUUAAGAAACUAA
Molecule: ribosomal RNA, 495 nt
Filed under: Triticum aestivum (bread wheat)
Lineage: Eukaryota; Viridiplantae; Streptophyta; Magnoliopsida; Poales; Poaceae
Description: partial small subunit ribosomal RNA
Source: RNAcentral